This 81-nucleotide transfer RNA is filed under the name Opitutus sp. Its description in RNAcentral is "tRNA-Leu". It matches the Rfam family "tRNA". From Rfam's summary of the family: Transfer RNA (tRNA) molecules are approximately 80 nucleotides in length. Lineage: Bacteria; Pseudomonadati; Verrucomicrobiota; Opitutia; Opitutales; Opitutaceae. RNAcentral also lists the same sequence under 3 other names. The record is from RNAcentral.
GCUCGGGUGAUGGAAUGGCAGACAUGCGGGUCUUAGAAGCCCGUGACGCAAGUCGUGUGGGUUCGAGUCCCACCCCGAGCA